AGUAAAUAGAUACCCAGGUAGUCCACGCCGUAAACGAUGUCGACUUGGAGGUUGUGCCCUUGAGGCGUGGCUUCCGGAGCUAAACGCGUUAAGUCGACCGCCUGGGGAGUACGGCCGCAAGGUUAAAACUCAAAUGAAUUGACGGGGGCCCGCACAAGCGGUGGAGCAUGUGGUUUAAUUCGAUGCAACGCGAAGAACCUUACCUACUCUUGGCAUCCAGAGAACUUAGCAGAGAUGCUUUGGUGCCUUCGGGAACUCUGAGACAGGUGCUGCAUGGCUGUCGUCAGCUCGUGUUGUGAAAUGUUGGGUUAAGUCCCGCAACGAGCGCAACCCUUAUCCUUUGUUGCCAGCGGUUAGGCCGGGAACUCAAAGGAGACUGCCAGUGAUAAACUGGAGGAAGGUGGGGAUGACGUCAAGUCAUCAUGGCCCUUACGAGUAGGGCUACACACGUGCUACAAUGGCGCAUACAAAGAGAAGCGACCUCGCGAGAGCAAGCGGACCUCAUAAAGUGCGUCGUAGUCCGG
This 524-nucleotide ribosomal RNA is filed under the name uncultured bacterium. RNAcentral describes it as "bacterial SSU rRNA". It matches the Rfam family "Bacterial small subunit ribosomal RNA", at positions 774 to 1296 of the family's 1533-position model. The record is from RNAcentral.